This 468-nucleotide ribosomal RNA is filed under the name uncultured bacterium. Its description in RNAcentral is "partial 16S ribosomal RNA". It matches the Rfam family "Bacterial small subunit ribosomal RNA", at positions 28 to 507 of the family's 1533-position model. The record is from RNAcentral.
GACGAACGCUGGCGGCGUGCUUAACGCAUGCAAGUCGAACGGAAAGGCCCUGCUUUUGUGGGGUGCUCGAGUGGCGAACGGGUGAGUAACACGUGAGUAACCUGCCCUUGACUUUGGGAUAACUUCAGGAAACUGGGGCUAAUACCGGAUAGGAGCUCCUGCUGCAUGGUGGGGGUUGGAAAGUUUCGGCGGUUGGGGAUGGACUCGCGGCUUAUCAGCUUGUUGGUGGGGUAGUGGCUUACCAAGGCUUUGACGGGUAGCCGGCCUGAGAGGGUGACCGGCCACAUUGGGACUGAGAUACGGCCCAGACUCCUACGGAAGGCAGCAGUGGGGAAUAUUGCACAAUGGGCGGAAGCCUGAUGCAGCAACGCCGCGUGCGGGAUGACGGCCUUCGGGUUGUAAACCGCUUUCGCCUGUGACGAAGCGUGAGUGACGGUAAUGGGUAAAGAAGCACCGGCUAACUACGUG